UACGUAGGUCCCGAGCGUUGUCCGGGUUUAUUGGGCGUAAAGCGAGCGCAGGUGGUUUAUUAAGUCUGGUGUAGAAGGCAGUGGCUCAACCAUUGUAUGCAUUGGAAACUGGUAGACUUGAGUGCAGGAGAGGAGAGUGGAAUUCCAUGUGUAGCGGUGAAAUGCGUAGAUAUAUGGAGGAACACCGGUGGCGAAAGCGGCUCUCUGGCCUGUAACUGACACUGAGGCUCGAAAGCGUGGGGAGCAAACAGG
Molecule: ribosomal RNA, 252 nt
Filed under: uncultured bacterium
Lineage: Bacteria
Description: partial 16S ribosomal RNA
Rfam family: Bacterial small subunit ribosomal RNA
Source: RNAcentral